AGCAGCUGACGGUCCAGCAUCUUCGCAUCACGUUCUCGCCUUUUACUAGAGCAUGCCGUGUCGGGCCGUCGCUUGCAGCUGCUUAUCAAAUUUCUCCCUUCACAGGUCUCCCUGUGCA
Exidia glandulosa HHB12029 is the source of this 118-nucleotide non-coding RNA. The record is from Rfam. NCBI's taxonomy places the organism in Eukaryota, Fungi, Basidiomycota, Agaricomycetes, Auriculariales, Exidiaceae.